Molecule: ribosomal RNA, 253 nt
Filed under: uncultured bacterium
Lineage: Bacteria
Description: partial 16S ribosomal RNA
Rfam family: Bacterial small subunit ribosomal RNA
Source: RNAcentral
UACGUAGGGGGCGAGCGUUGUCCGGAAUUAUUGGGCGUAAAGAGCGUGUAGGCGGUCCGGUAAGUCCGCUGUGAAAGUCGGGGGCUCAACCCUCGAAUGCCGGUGGAUACUGUCGGGCUAGAGUGCGGAAGAGGCGAGUGGAAUUCCUGGUGUAGCGGUGAAAUGCGCAGAUAUCAGGAGGAACACCUAUUGCGAAGGCAGCUCGCUGGGACGUAACUGACGCUGAGACGCGAAAGCGUGGGGAGCAAACAGG